AAAUAUGAUGCUUCCCAUACAUGGCUAGGAGGUGCUUCUUAUGCUAUCUUACUUGUGCAACCUGAGCUCAGUCGUGAUUACCCGCUGAACUUAAAGCAU
This 99-nucleotide ribosomal RNA is filed under the name Heterorhabditis zealandica. RNAcentral describes it as "partial 28S ribosomal RNA". Lineage: Eukaryota; Metazoa; Nematoda; Chromadorea; Rhabditida; Heterorhabditidae. The record is from RNAcentral.